CACCUGUGGUGAACUAAACACAGCCCAGGAAUAUAAUACCAAGUAGGAAGUACCUCAAAAGUCGUGAACACAUACAGCACAUCAAAAAUGGAGGAGGACGAUGCCGUUUACAAUAUUCCAUCAACUCCGGGAGCUUUCAGGCUUCUGUGAGACGUGUUCUUGAGCUUCAGAGGCGAAGACACACGCCACACCUUCACCAGCAACCUCUACACCUCCCUCCACAACCAUGGCGUUCGAGUCUUCCGCUACGACGACGGGUUACGCCGUGGAGACGAGAUCGCCUCGAGUCUGCUCGAAGCAAUCGAGGACUCGGCAGCUUCAAUCGUCAUCAUCUCCCCUAACUACGCGUCGUCGAAGUGGUGCCUCGAGGAACUUUCCAAGAUAUGCGACUGCAGGAGGCUCAUACUCCCCGUGUUCUACCGAGUCGACCCGUCUGAUGUUCGGAGACAAAAAGGACCUUUCGAAGAACAUUUUUGGAAACAUGAAGAGAGGUUUGGGGAAGACAAGGUUUUGAAGUGGAGGAAAGCCAUGGAAACUGUUGGUGGAAGAGCUGGUUGGGUUUUCACCAACAGCGAAGAACCACUAUUGGCUCUACUGUUGAUUCUUAAUACUUUCCAUUUGAUUGACAAUAGGGAACACAAUGUAUAGAAGGCAUUGUCCUAGACUUUGAGAAAAGAUUAGAAAAGCCUCUCAAAGAUCCAAGUGGUGAUACAAUUUCUUGGUAUAACCUCAAAGAAACCUCAAUUUCACCUCAGCAGUCACAUACUUAAAGGAAAGGUAUAAACAUUAUCUUGAAGAUCGAGCAAAGAGAGAGAGAGGUUGUAAUUUUCACCAAUUCCCUUAAAACCAUGGUCAAUCUUAGACUGCUCCAAAUAAAUAAUGUGAAUUUGGAAGGGAAGUUCAAAUAUCUUCCUGUUGAACUGAAGUGGCUACAAUGGAAAGGUUGCCCCAUGAAAAGUCUUCCUUCUGAUUUUUGUCCUCACAAAGUUGCUUUACUUGAUUUAUCAGAAAGCAAAAUUGAACAAUUGUGGGGUUCGCACAAUAACAAGGUAUGCUUUUAUUAAAAAUUCCAUUGUGAUUAUCAUUAAUGUUUGAACUAAAUUAUCAUUAUCAUUACUGCAAGAAUAGGAUGCAUGACCUACCGCUAUAACUUCCAUUUUUAGGCUGGCUUUUUUUGUUACCUCCAACUCUUCUUUCUAUUUUAAAUCACCCAAAGCUGCUUUGGUAAUUAUGGUUUGUUCAGCUUAUACAUUUGAUGGAAAAUCGCAAUGACAGUUCCUAUUUAAAAGAAGAAAACCUUUUGUUUUCCAGGUGCUUGAGAACUUGAUGGUUUUGAAUCUCCUUGGUUGCUUUAAUCUAGCUGCUGUUCCAGAUUUAUCUGGACAUCAAGCCUUAGAAAAAUUCCUGAUGAUUUUGAGAUGUUGUCAUCACUGGAGUUUUUGAAUCUAGGCCACAAUAAUUUUUACAGCCUUCCCUCCAGCCUGAGGGGCCUGUCCAUCCUCCAAAAACUUAUCUUGCACAAUUGUAAGGAGCUCAAGUCUCUCCCUCCACUGCCCUCAAGUUUGCUAGAGGUGAAUGUUGAAAAUUGUAUUGUGUUGGAAAAUAUAUCUGAUCUUUCAAACUCGGAAAGCUUAAGUGAUCUGAACCUUACUGAUGAUGCCGUAAAUAUCACUAGUGAGCUACACGAUCCUUGCACGCUUUUAAUAAUACCUACAAGAGAAAAGAGAAAAGACCUAACAGAGAACACCAGUGUGGUGCCGGCCAAAUACCCUCCGAAUGUCAAAUUAGAAUUAUUCUCACAACUUUAGAGUGCUAGAAAAGGGUAAAUUAUGCAUACCUUGAUUUGUGAGGGUAUUGGGACUUUUAUAGUAGUAGAAGGUUGUCCCCUCUUUCUUGGCGUAGAAGUCUUUUCCUUAUAGGAAUCCUCUCGAAUAGUCCCAAACAUGAUGGACAAGACCCUUUCCUUGUAUAGAAGAUCUUUAUUUACGUGCGUAUCUUCCGGAAUUCUCUUUGUGUUAGGAUUCCUAUUUUCCUUGGGAUUCUAUGAUGAUUCAAGCGUGUGUCACAAGUAUUUCCCAUCUAGGGCCUUCGCUGUGCCUUGGGCUUGCCCUCUGUCGGCCCAUGGACUAGAUCCGUCAGGCCCAAUUUAACGGAGGUCCGUCAUAUCUUAUUUUUACCCCUUCACUUACUAAUUGUGAGAAAGUGGUGGACAUUCCUGGCCUUGAAUGCUUGAAGUCCUUGAGAAGGUUGUACGAGUGUUUGCAAUGUGUGCUACUCAAUAGUAAAGAGAAGACUGUCUAAGGUUUCUUUGAGGAACAUGCGCAAUCUAAGUAUGCCUGGAAGCAAGAUUCCGAGUUGGUUUUCUCAGAAGGAGGUUAGAUUUACAAACCUUAGAAACCGUGAGAUCAAAGGUGUUAUUAUAGCUGUUGUUGUCUCGCUCAAUUAGCAAGUAUCAGAUGACCUUAGAUAUCGCCUACCUGCAAUAGUGGACAUCCAGGCAGAGAUCCUCAAACAAAAUAGUUAUGUAUACAAAACAACAUUGAACUUGAAUGGAGUCCCAAAGACAAAUGAAGAUCAAAUUCACUUGUGCCAAUACCCUUUUCAUUGAAAGAUGGUUAUAAGAUACAAGUGAUAACGAGAAACCCGCCAAACAUGAAGGGUGUUGAGCUCAAGAAUUGGGGGGUUUGUUUGGUUUUUGAUGGUGAUGAUGAUUACGAGGGAGAUGAAGAAUCAUUGAAUGAAAGCCAACAGUCCAUAUCAGAAAGACUAGCAACGUUUUUCAACACUUUUAAAGAAGACAAUUGUGUCUCUAAAUCUGUUGAUGAAGUUGAGGAAAAAGAUUACAUUUUUGUGUACCCCCUGUUUUUUGUCAAGAACCUGAUAUUGAAAAGUGGAAAAGAUUGAAGGAAGAGAACAGCAAAGAGCAACCUCAUUUGACAAAUUUACUAUGUUUCUGCUUUCAUUGUUCUUUCUUUUGUCAUUCUGUGGAGUUGGUCACAAAUAUGGUGUUAACAGAGACGGUCUCUACAGUAGCUGUUUAUUUUAAUUCAAAAUCAACCAUGCAAUUGUGAACCUUAGCAGCUCCGAAGAUUGGGGAAUUUUGAAUUUUA
This is a long non-coding RNA of Quercus lobata, 3110 nucleotides long. RefSeq lists it as uncharacterized. The transcript is spliced from 3 exons. The record is from RefSeq and is a predicted model, not a curated record. Lineage: Eukaryota; Viridiplantae; Streptophyta; Magnoliopsida; Fagales; Fagaceae.